Molecule: long non-coding RNA, 1335 nt
Filed under: Anas platyrhynchos platyrhynchos (common mallard)
Lineage: Eukaryota; Metazoa; Chordata; Aves; Anseriformes; Anatidae
Description: lncRNA (ENSAPLG00000018737.1)
Source: RNAcentral
GAAAUAAUAAAUGUAUAUUGGACUUGGCCCUUUUUCAUAGUAUCUCUUUCCAGAAUUUGUAACUGAACAACUUGAAGCAUGAAAUGAUCCUUUUUGUGUUAUCAGUGUAUUCCCACCAAGGAGCUCUCUGUAACCCAGUCUUUACCCUGGAAAUUCUUGCUGCAGUCUCCUCCGAUUCCCAUGUUUCUGUAUGGUAUCUCCACCAUAACUACACAGUGGCUUUGUUAGGAUUACAUGGAAAGUCUGCACCAAAACAGAGGAGUUUCCUCUGCACAGCCUAGUACCCUAAAUAUGUUUAGAUUUUUUAUAGGGUCUUGGAUGUAAUCAUCUUUUCUGUUGCAACACUGAGUGUAAUAGAGCUUCUGACUGCAAGUGCAGUACAUACAGACAGAAAUAAUCCUCGCGGCACUGUGCAAGAAGCAGGAGAUGCUGCAAACAGCGAGAGGAGGUGGCGCUAAGCCAACAUUUGGCACAGACAGCAAGAGCAGCACUGUAGCCUGAGGUAGCUCCCAAGGCAACAUCUGGAAAAACAGUGCUGGAUGGUGGCUGCGCAUUGCCCACAACCCUGGCAGAGGCACAGCAAGGCUGUUAGCCCAGAAUAAUGAAAUGUUGGUACCCUGAUGGAUGACAGGAAGACUUUGCAAUCUGUUGAAGUACAAUUAAUAGCUGGCAAGCUGAAGAUCAACACAGUUUGGGCCAGACAGAGUCACUUCAAGGUUUCUGUCCUUGUGUCCCAGUCAGCUGCAGCUCAGCCUGGAUUUUGAACCCCCAAGUGCAGAAGCAAUCCUGAUCCUGAAGCCUGCUUGUGAAAGGUAUCCCAGGCCUGCAAGACCAUGAGUCUUUUACAUCUGGUCAGAAUAAAGGCAGAGUGACAUGCAAUAUGGGGCGAGGUUUGAUGUGUAUUUUGUACUGCACUUUUGCUGUCCUCAAGCUCUUCUCUGAGGUGACAGUGCCAUCAGCUCACAUUGCUUCAGCUUCCUCUCCUGAUGUGUCUCCACUGGGGCUCAUUUUAAAGGAAAUGUUGUCUUUGCACUCAGCAGAAGAUGGGAAAAGCAGCCACGGAGUGAGGAGAGGAGCUCCACAGCACAAUUUUGCUUUUUUGUCUCUCUCUGCAGCCCCAGCAGAAAGGUCUGCCUAGCCCCAUACAGCCUGCUGUACCUGCCCACCCACAUCCACAGUGUAGCCUCAGAUGCUGCACAUAAAGCACAGCCAGCCCCUUACAUCAUAACCGAGGUUACCAAUCUGCUGACCACCUCUUGGGGCAGAAAAGCAGUUCAGGUGCUGAAUGUCCACCUUGUUCUGAUCAACCAGGACACAGUCAAAGGGCCCAGAGCU